GUGAAAUCAGUGUUAACACCUUCAGGGCACACAGUGGAUAAGCCUGGACUAAUUUCAAUGUGACUCAAAUUUCUGUGUGCUUGUUUAAAUGAAGAGUGUGCAAAUGUGCAGCUGCUGAAAUCAUGCUGUAUUGAUGACUGAUAUCUGUGUGCAGCCGUCUGGGCGGAAAUACAGAUUCUCUCGGUAUGUAUGACUGUUUAUAUGUAAAUGGGUGCAACAUUGUGAACAUAAUGUAU
Molecule: long non-coding RNA, 236 nt
Filed under: Astyanax mexicanus (Mexican tetra)
Lineage: Eukaryota; Metazoa; Chordata; Actinopteri; Characiformes; Acestrorhamphidae
Description: lncRNA (ENSAMXG00005005970.1)
Source: RNAcentral